This is a long non-coding RNA of Hippocampus comes (tiger tail seahorse), 2226 nucleotides long. RefSeq lists it as uncharacterized. Lineage: Eukaryota; Metazoa; Chordata; Actinopteri; Syngnathiformes; Syngnathidae. The transcript is spliced from 2 exons. The record is from RefSeq and is a predicted model, not a curated record.
GUUGGCUUCCUUGCCACGUGCAACUAAGCAACACUUCGGCUCAAAAGACUUGGUGAUGGUGGGGGAAUAUGGAGACACAUCGACAAGUGUUCUGCGGCCACAUCAUCCUAUGGACUACAACAUGCAUACAAAGAUGUCGCUUUAGACAGAAACUGUAUGUGUGUGUUUGUGAUCAGGAAUCAUUCUCUCAGAGAAAAUAAAAGACACAAGCUAUCAGAAACACCCAUGGUAAUGUCAAUGUGGGAGAGCUGCAUUUGCGUGAAACAAAAAAAAAUACGUGAUGAGCAAAGUCACCGACAGACACGAUACGGUUGUUAUAUUACAUGCCGGAACGUAAGUAUGGUGGCCCAAAAGGGACAACAAGACAAGCCACGCUACUCCACUGUCUUGAAGGGGAGCCAACACACACACACGGAAACUUGGAUGCAACACAAGUGGGCGUAUCCAUUCAAUUCCCCAAUCGAUCGGCCCUCCCGUGGGGUUGCGCCGUUGAGGUCGGAAGUGCUCAGAGGUGUUCGGUUAGACAUCAAUGUGUGAAUGAUGUGAUUGAAGGGAGAGUGAAAGACAAAAAACAUCCAGUUAUAGAAAACCUGAGAACUUAAUUGCAUUAAUUGUAUCCAUCACAAGACCUGAUUUCUACUAUAAAAUUAGACUAUCUGUACAGCGGCACUCUCUAUCUUUCUCUCUCUCUAACUACACAAAAAUGAGCCACCACCUUCUCAUAAGUGGUUAUGAAAAGGUGUCAUCCACUCUGUGGUCGUGAUCCAUUCUGAGACUUUUUUUGUUUUGUUUAUUUAUUUAUUUAUUUUUUUAAUUCAAAAAAAUAGAAUCAUUCUCCUCCAUAAGACACAAAUGGAGUGUGGCUGUUUUUGAGUCAUUUGGCCGAAUUUGGAUUUCUGUCUGUCAUUGUUUGGGUGCCUGACAGUCAAUAAAUCGGAAUCUAUUUCAGUAGUUCAGUUCAAAAAGUGACAUCCGUAUUACUGCACAGAUAAAGAAUGAAACUGAAUUCAUAAUCUUUAAUGCUGCAAUUUAUUUUAUUCUGAUACUCCUUCUGUGCCUGCUGUGGCCACCGGGAGGCAGUAUAAUACCGUCAUGUAAAUACUAAAGAAGAAGACUACUGUCUGGGGCUCAGUAAAACUCUAUAAAAUUAGACAUUUUUUUCUCGAAAGGACAACAGUUUUUGUUCAAACAUCUGUUACUUAAAACGCUCCAAAACCGCGACUACUAAUGCUAUCGUUAGCAUGUUAGCAACGUUGUGUGUUUGUUUUGACAGUAAACGUGACCAGUGCAAAAUUUUGUCCUAAAUUUAAUUGAGAAAAAUGUUGGCGCAGAUGUGCUUCAAUUUCAAGACGAAAAAAAUAGAUUGAUUUGUAUACAGUCUGUAAAAGGUGACAAAAAAAAAAUCCAAACAAAAUUUCACUGUGUUUAGUCACUGAGCUUCACGUUUGUAAUUGAACUGCUGAAAUAAAAUUCCACGCCGUAUCAUAUUAAAAAGCAAAAAAAAAAAAAAAAAAAAAAAAAAAAAGAAAUAACCACCAAAUUUUCAAUUGCGUUGUGGUGAAAUUCUCUUGUGUUGGUGUAAUACUGUUUUUUUGCCUCAUAUUAAAGAUAGAACAGUGGAAAAAUACAUAGUUACUUGUCUGUCUGUACAAAUCCCCCCGUAGACCGAAGAAAAUAAAGUGCCACAAUUUUAGGCCUGCAUAGUUUUUGCAGUAGUUGACAUAGUAUAUUGUAUAUAUCAUAUCAUACACAAUAUAUCUUGUACUUUCAGCACACCCGCUCUCUUUUUCGUCCGUGUUCAUGACAAGACAGACAAAAAAAUGUGAAAUAAAUUAAAAAUAAAGACAUCAACAAACAUGCAUUUUGUACAUACAGCCACGAGUCGCAAAAAUGUUUCAGCCAUAAAUUGGAAUUGAAAGGCAACCAGAGAUGCUCUCUGUCGGCGUAAAGAAAACAAGAACAGAAUAAAUUAAAUUUACACACACACACAAAAAGAAAAAAAUACAAACACAAUUAUUAGGAAGCUAUAAAUGUAACCCUCCUGUUAUGUUUGCUUCUCUGGGACAGAAGUAAUCUUCCUUUAUUCAUUUGACCCGUGACAUUUAAUUAUCCAGAAGUGUCCAAAAAAAGAAAAAAAAAAGGGGUGGGGGGAAUCCCAAUAAAGAUAAUUAAUAUUUCAUUAUUAAGCCAAGCAGAAGAAGCUUCCUUUCCCAAAAAAAAGCACUU